Molecule: long non-coding RNA, 1482 nt
Organism: Brachypodium distachyon (stiff brome)
Lineage: Eukaryota; Viridiplantae; Streptophyta; Magnoliopsida; Poales; Poaceae
Exons: 3
Source: RefSeq, a predicted model, not a curated record
CAAUUUCCCAGCCGCCUCCGUCCACGCACCAACUGCCUCCUAGCUCCCUCCUUCUCCACGAACCCGAGACCCUGACCCCCGAGCCGCCGCCUAGCUAGCUUCCUUCUGUCCCCCGUCACCCCGCGCCCGGCCUCCUCCCUCCUCCACGGCUCCCUCCGCUGCCCCGCCUCCUCUCCUCCACGGCUCCGUCUGCCACCCCGCCUCCUCCUUUUUCCACGGCUUUGUCUGCCAUCCCACCCCCAUGUCUCGCCAGUCCGCCUCCCCGCAAUCUUGCUUCCUCGACGGCUCUAGCACCACUCUGCCGCCUCCUCCAGUAGCCCUCUAGCGGGCGAGACCGCGGGAGCUUUAUGGAUGGCACCGGAGCUGAAGAUCGACGCCGCCGCAAGCUACGGCGCCAAAAAGCUCGAAGCCUCUCCUCCGACCGGGGACAUCAUCCUCUCCUCCAACGCCGCCACGGCUUCCUGCGCCCCCAGUUCGACGUCGCUCCUCUCCUACGGCGGUAACCCGUACCCGUGGCGGGUACGGAUAUGGUAAAAUUUCAUACCCUCAGAUUUGCACCGCCGGAUAGAUCUCUGGCCGUUGUUCGCGCCUGGGCCUCGCCCGCUGGCUGGGCCAGGAAAAUCGCAGCAAAUCCGUGAACUGGGCCAGGUUAUAGCCCACACAGCCAUCGUGCAGUUAGUUAGCCCACGAGGGAAAAAAAAAAUGAAGGUCGAUCCCUUGUGCUGCCUCCCCCUGGAGCCUGGAACGGCCGCCGCCCCUGCGCGCGAUGCGGUUCCUCCUCCGGGCCCUUCCGAUCCCCUCCUCUCCCGACCUAGGCAGGCUCUCGCCGCCACUGCCGUUCCUCCGGCCUCCAUCACUUGCCCUUCAUCGAUCUAGGCCAGACGAGAAGGUCGUGUUCCAGAAGGUGAGGGAUUUGUCCGUCUUGGGGGCCGGGAGGACGAGGAGCGGGCGGCAGCGAUGAGGCGGUUGGCGUAGACUAUCUCUUCAGCGCUUCUUCUACCACAGAUUGAUUACAAGUCGCAAUGGCAAGCGCUAAAAGAGGAUAUUCCAAGAUCGAACCUAAGUCUGGUAGAUAUUCCAAGAAAGCUGACCUGCAGGUUUUGACUCUAAAGGCAGGGGGGCAUGGAGCGGCGGCCGAUGACUAAACGCGAUCACCAGAUCGAGCCAUACUCUCCAUAGAUGCGUGCAUUCGAGUGCACAGUGUACAUCGAUCAGGAAAAGGACGGACCAAGAAUAUGUGCGGAUCCACAUGUCGGCAUGGAAAUUGUAGAAUAGAUCUUAACCGUUGAAAUCUUCUUAGAUAUAAAGAUCGAUCGGAUCAACGGCCAGAUGUUUUGAUUUUUUUCGGGAUUUUCUAGUUGUCUAUCUUUUUCUGGUUAUUAUGUCAUGUAUUUUUAGUAUAUAAUAGAUGUCGGCACGCAAAUUUUAGAAUAGAUCUUAACCGUUGAAAUCUUCUUAGAUUUAAAGAUCAAUUGGAUCAAA